This is a long non-coding RNA of Lutra lutra (Eurasian river otter), 406 nucleotides long. RefSeq lists it as uncharacterized. The record is from RefSeq and is a predicted model, not a curated record. NCBI's taxonomy places the organism in Eukaryota, Metazoa, Chordata, Mammalia, Carnivora, Mustelidae. The transcript has 3 exons.
UGGGUGGACAGGACCCAGAGAAGUCAGUGAUGGUGGGGAACUGGGCUGCACUUUGGGGCUUCUGACACGGGGAACCCGUUACUGUCCUGAGACCCAGUGGGCAGGGUCUGGAGAGGGCGGCUCUAGACACGGCCGCCUGCUGGGCCGGGGCCUGCGGUGGAUGACCCCGACGCCCCAUGGUGACUCAGGGUGGCCGUGGGCACAGAUACCCUGCGUUCGCUCAUCUGCUCUCCCCGCACAGCCUGGACCCCGGUAGGGAAAGAAGACCACUCACCUUGUAGUCACCUUCUUCCUGUCAUGGAGGUGACCCACCGCCGUGCUUUCAGAAGGCACGCCAAAUAAAGCAGAAGACCAAAAUCAGUCAUCCCACCCCCUGGCAUAAGUGAACAUGGAUAUUUUAGAAAUA